Molecule: ribosomal RNA, 492 nt
Filed under: uncultured bacterium
Lineage: Bacteria
Description: partial 16S ribosomal RNA
Rfam family: Bacterial small subunit ribosomal RNA
Source: RNAcentral
AGUGAACGCUGGCGGUAGGCCUAACACAUGCAAGUCGAACGGCAGCACAGUAAGAGCUUGCUCUUACGGGUGGCGAGUGGCGGACGGGUGAGGAAUACAUCGGAAUCUACUUUUUCGUGGGGGAUAACGUAGGGAAACUUACGCUAAUACCGCAUACGACCUACGGGUGAAAGCAGGGGAUCUUCGGACCUUGCGCGAUUGAAUGAGCCGAUGUCGGAUUAGCUAGUUGGCGGGGUAAAGGCCCACCAAGGCGACGAUCCGUAGCUGGUCUGAGAGGAUGAUCAGCCACACUGGAACUGAGACACGGUCCAGACUCCUACGGGAGGGAGCAGUGGGGAAUAUUGGACAAUGGGCGGAAGCCUGAUCCAGCCAUACCGCGUGGGUGGAGGAGGCCUUCGGGUUGUAAAGCCCUUUUGUUGGGAAAGAAAAGCCGCCGGUUAAUACCCCGCUGUUCUGACGGUACCCAAAGAAUAAGCACCGGCUAACUUCGUG